RNAcentral lists this long non-coding RNA (726 nucleotides) under Gossypium barbadense (sea-island cotton). Its description in RNAcentral is "long non-coding RNA (GBAR_LNC003801)". The record is from RNAcentral. Lineage: Eukaryota; Viridiplantae; Streptophyta; Magnoliopsida; Malvales; Malvaceae.
CUCUUUCUUUUUCUCUGAAACACACCCUAGGACCGGCCACUAAUUCAACGAGCCUCCACGUUAGCCAUCGGUCGCCGACAACGGAUUCCGCCAUUCCCAAUGGCUGGAAAAUGCAAAAAAGUCUCCUUUUUGGCCUUUCGACUCUUAAAACUCAAAUCUGGGGUCGAUUCUCUCGAAAAACUUACCAAAAGUCGCAAAAAAAAGGGAACCCUUCGAUUUUAGGGUUUUUAAAAGGGUUCACCUUUCAUCAGAGGUGACGACCUCGACCACUUUUGGUGGCAGAACACGAAGCAUCAGGUAAGUUCCUUCUUUUUCUUUUUUAAUUUUUUUUAUAUAUAAAAAUAUUCGAAAAAAUAAAUAAAAGAAAAAAUAAAUCUCCUUCGAAAUUUUAUAUUCUGUUGGUUUUUUUUAUUGCUUUUUCUGUAAAAAAUUACAUUGCGAUUGUUGUGGCUUUUAUAGCCGAUUUACAACAUUAUUUAUUAUUUUUAUUUUUUUCUUUAUUGUUUGCUUUUGUUGUUUAUGCACUUGUAUCUAUCCCUUUUUCUCUUUUCUUGCAAGUGGCGGAGCCAACGGAGAGGAGAGACAGACCUUUUGCCAUUUUGGUGAAAUGGCAACAGAAAUGGCAAACCUUGGGACGAGGAUCUUCGGGCGGCGUGCUUGUGAAAGGAGGAGCGACACAGGGGGCAUUAGGAUUUCUAUUUAGCUUUUAGUGUCAUAGGCUUUAGG